CCUACGGGGGGCAGCAGUGGGGAAUAUUGGACAAUGGGGGCAACCCUGAUCCAGCCAUGCCGCGUGUGUGAAGAAGGCCCUCGGGUUGUAAAGCACUUUCAGUGAGGAAGAACGCCUGGUGGUUAAUACCCAUCAGGAAAGACAUCACUCACAGAAGAAGCACCGGCUAACUCCGUGCCAGUAGCCGCGGUAAUACGGAGGGUGCGAGCGUUAAUCGGAAUUACUGGGCGUAAAGCGCGCGUAGGUGGCUUGAUAAGCCGGUUGUGAAAGCCCCGGGCUCAACCUGGGAACGGCAUCCGGAACUGUCAAGCUAGAGUGCAGGAGAGGAAGGUAGAAUUCCCGGUGUAGCGGUGAAAUGCGUAGAGAUCGGGAGGAAUACCAGUGGCGAAGGCGGCCUUCUGGACUGACACUGACACUGAGGUGCGAAAGCGUGGGUAGCAAACAGGAUUAGAUACCCUAGUAGUC
This 465-nucleotide ribosomal RNA is filed under the name Vreelandella stevensii. RNAcentral describes it as "partial 16S ribosomal RNA". It matches the Rfam family "Bacterial small subunit ribosomal RNA", at positions 338 to 795 of the family's 1533-position model. Lineage: Bacteria; Pseudomonadati; Pseudomonadota; Gammaproteobacteria; Oceanospirillales; Halomonadaceae. The record is from RNAcentral.